GAUGAAGAACGCAGCGAAAUGCGAUACGUAAUGUGAAUUGCAGAAUUCAGUGAAUCAUCGAGUCUUUGAACGCGCAUUGCGCCGCCUGGUAGUCCGGGGGGCAUGCCUGUCCGAGCGUCAUUGCUGCCCUCAAGCACGGCUUGUGUGUUGGGCCUCCGUCCUCCUCCCGGGGGACGGGCCCGAAAGGCAGCGGCGGCACCGCGUCCGGUCCUCGAGCGUAUGGGGCUUCGUCACCCGCUCUUGUAGGCCCGGCCGGCGCUUGCCGACACAUCAAUCUUUUUUCCAGGUUGACCUCGGAUCAGGUAGGGAUACCCGCUGAACUUAAGCAUAUCAAUAAGCGGAGGA
Molecule: unclassified non-coding RNA, 345 nt
Filed under: soil metagenome
Description: partial contains 5.8S ribosomal RNA, internal transcribed spacer 2, and large subunit ribosomal RNA
Rfam family: 5.8S ribosomal RNA (bases 1-120)
Source: RNAcentral